UCAUCAAACACACCAAUCGUGCGGGACAUGAUCCGGGAGGUGUGUGGCUUCGCACCCUACGAGCAGUGAGCCAUGGAGUUGCUCAAAGUGUCCAAGGACAAGCGCGCACUCAAGUUCAUCAAGAAGAGUGUGGACACGCACAUCCGCGCCAAGAGAAAGUGGGAGGAGCUGAGCAACGUGCUGGCAGCCAUGAGGAAGGCGGCGGCCAAGAAGGAU
This 216-nucleotide long non-coding RNA is filed under the name Mus musculus (house mouse). Its description in RNAcentral is "long non-coding RNA chrX:19870823-19871039". The record is from RNAcentral. Lineage: Eukaryota; Metazoa; Chordata; Mammalia; Rodentia; Muridae.